AAGCAGUGGAAAGUUGCAUAAACACUCACAGGGUAAAACAUAUUUUGACUGAAUUGGGAACAUUUGUGUGGAACCCGGCUUGGGAGAUACUGGAUAAAUGUACAAAGGCGAAUCUGCUCAUUGCAAAACAAACAUCAAAGUGGCACCUGCCGAUUCCGAAGCAGUAGGCAGAAUUCAUCGAUACUGCUUUGGUGGAGGAGAAAAUCCUCCUGGAGAGGGAACAUGGUGAAAGGGGUCCUGAAGGCGGUAGAGUACAUCCUGUAGAUGUGAAACUGCGAGAGGUAGAACGAAAGGCAAAAUUGGCGCAACAGCAAUUAGUUUGAGCAGGACAUUCAGUUAAAAAAAAAAUGGAAUAAGAAGAACCUGCAGCCAGACAAGAACAGGAAUUUUAGGCUAGAGAUAUGUCAGCCUGCCGCAUCUGCAGUGGAAGGUGGCCGAGCUCCAGAGGUGUUUGUCAGACCAUGAGACGUCCUGAAAUCGAUUCUUCUCACAGAAAUGUGUCACGGGACUCGUCUGAAGGCAACCCAUACAAACAAAGAAGUAUGGAGGUAGUUGUGCCAACAAAAAUAAGGGGUUAAAUGUGUCCAAAAUAAAUAAAUGAUCCAUGUUAUCACCAUCUUAAAACAAUUAAACAUGUUAGCUUAGACCCCACCCCCAUCUAUUUUGGACAUAGUGUGUUCGGAAAGUAUUCAGACCCCUUGACUUUUUCCACAUUUUGUUACAUUACAGCCUUAUUCUAAAAUGGUUCAUUUUUUCCCCCCUCAUCAAUCUACACACAAUACCUGAUAAUGACAAUGCAAAAACUGUUUUUAUAAUUUUCUUUCAAAUGUAUCAACAAAAAUAAAGAUAUUUACAUAAAUAUUCAGACCUUUAACUCGGUACUUUGUUGGAGCACCUUUGGCAGCGAUUACAGCCUCGACUCUUCUUGGGGAUGACGCUACAAGCUUCACAUAGCUGGAGGGCAAACUACCUGCCCUCCAGGACACCUACACCACCCGAUGUCACAGGAAGGCCAUAAAGAUCAUCAAGGACAACAACCACCCGAGCCACUGCCUGUUCACCCCGCUAUCAUCCAGAAGGCGAGGUCAGUACAGGUGCAUCAAAGCUGGGACCGAGAGACUGAAAAACAGCUUCUAUCUCAAGGCCAUCAGACUGUUAAACAGCCACCACUAACAUUGAGUGGCUACUGCCAACACACUGACUCUACUCCAGCCACUUUAAUCAUGGGAAUUGAUGUAAAAUAUAUCACUAGCCACUUUAAACAAUGCCAGAAUCUCUAGUGGCACAGCUAGCACUGCGAUGCAGUGCCUUAGAC
This is a long non-coding RNA of Oncorhynchus tshawytscha (Chinook salmon), 1315 nucleotides long. The record is from Ensembl. Lineage: Eukaryota; Metazoa; Chordata; Actinopteri; Salmoniformes; Salmonidae.